RNAcentral lists this transfer RNA (74 nucleotides) under marine sediment metagenome. RNAcentral's name for it is "tRNA-Glu". It matches the Rfam family "tRNA". Rfam says of the family: Transfer RNA (tRNA) molecules are approximately 80 nucleotides in length. Their secondary structure includes four short double-helical elements and three loops (D, anti-codon, and T loops). The record is from RNAcentral.
GGCCCCGUGAGGCAACGGCAACUUGCCGGCUUCUCAGGCCGGUUAUCUCGGUUCGAAUCCGGGCGGGGCUACCA